Molecule: ribosomal RNA, 610 nt
Filed under: Salmonella enterica
Lineage: Bacteria; Pseudomonadati; Pseudomonadota; Gammaproteobacteria; Enterobacterales; Enterobacteriaceae
Also listed under: 5 other names
Description: partial 23S ribosomal RNA
Rfam family: Bacterial large subunit ribosomal RNA
Source: RNAcentral
CAGGUUUACCUGUGUGACUGCGUACCUUUUGUAUAAUGGGUCAGCGACUUAUAUUCUGUAGCAAGGUUAACCGAAUAGGGGAGCCGGAGGGAAACCGAGUCUUAAUUGGGCGUUAAGUUGCAGGGUAUAGACCCGAAACCCGGUGAUCUAGCCAUGGGCAGGUUGAAGGUUGGGUAACACUAACUGGAGGACCGAACCGACUAAUGUUGAAAAAUUAGCGGAUGACCUGUGGCUGGGGGUGAAAGGCCAAUCAAACCGGGAGAUAGCUGGUUCUCCCCGAAAGCUAUUUAGGUAGCGCCUCGUGAAUUCAUCUCCGGGGGUAGAGCACUGUUUCGGCUAGGGGGCCAUCCCGGCUUACCAACCCGAUGCAAACUGCGAAUACCGGAGAAUGUUAUCACGGGAGACACACGGCGGGUGCUAACGUCCGUCGUGAAGAGGGAAACAACCCAGACCGCCAGCUAAGGUCCCAAAGUCAUGGUUAAGUGGGAAACGAUGUGGGAAGGCCCAGACAGCCAGGAUGUUGGCUUAGAAGCAGCCAUCAUUUAAAGAAAGCGUAAUAGCUCACUGGUCGAGUCGGCCUGCGCGGAAGAUGUAACGGGGCUAAACCAUG